RNAcentral lists this transfer RNA (85 nucleotides) under Felis catus (domestic cat). It matches the Rfam family "tRNA". Rfam says of the family: Transfer RNA (tRNA) molecules are approximately 80 nucleotides in length. Their secondary structure includes four short double-helical elements and three loops (D, anti-codon, and T loops). Further hydrogen bonds mediate the characteristic L-shaped molecular structure. tRNAs have two regions of fundamental functional importance: the anti-codon, which is responsible for specific mRNA codon recognition, and the 3' end, to which the tRNAs corresponding amino acid is attached (by aminoacyl-tRNA synthetases). tRNAs cope with the degeneracy of the genetic code in two manners: having more than one tRNA (with a specific anti-codon) for a particular amino acid; and 'wobble' base-pairing, i.e. permitting non-standard base-pairing at the 3rd anti-codon position. RNAcentral also lists the same sequence under 1 other name. The record is from Rfam by way of RNAcentral. Lineage: Eukaryota; Metazoa; Chordata; Mammalia; Carnivora; Felidae.
GCCUGGGUGGCUCAGUCGGUUGAGCGUCUAACUUUGGCUCAGGUCAUGAUCUCAUGGUUCGUGGGUUCAAGCCCCAUGUCAGGCA